UGGGGAAUUUUGGACAAUGGGCGAAAGCCUGAUCCAGCAAUGCCGCGUGUGUGAAGAAGGCCUUCGGGUUGUAAAGCACUUUUGUCCGGAAAGAAAUCCUUGGCUCUAAUACAGUCGGGGGAUGACGGUACCGGAAGAAUAAGCACCGGCUAACUACGUGCCAGCAGCCGCGGUAAUACGUAGGGUGCAAGCGUUAAUCGGAAUUACUGGGCGUAAAGCGUGCGCAGGCGGUUUGCUAAGACCGAUGUGAAAUCCCCGGGCUCAACCUGGGAACUGCAUUGGUGACUGGCAGGCUAGAGUAUGGCAGAGGGGGGUAGAAUUCCACGUGUAGCAGUGAAAUGCGUAGAGAUGUGGAGGAAUACCGAUGGCGAAGGCAGCCCCCUGGGCCAAUACUGACGCUCAUGCACGAAAGCGUGGGGAGCAAACAGGAUUAGAUACCCUGGUAAUCCACGCCCUAAACGAUGUCACUAGUUGUUGGGGAUUCAUUUCCUUAGUAACGUAGCUAACGCGUGAAGUUGACCGCCUGGGGAGUACGGUCGCAAGAUUAAAACUUAAAUGAAUUGAC
RNAcentral lists this ribosomal RNA (565 nucleotides) under uncultured bacterium. RNAcentral describes it as "partial 16S ribosomal RNA". It matches the Rfam family "Bacterial small subunit ribosomal RNA", at positions 355 to 914 of the family's 1533-position model. The record is from RNAcentral.